CAGUCGCCGCGGUAAUACGAAGGGGGCUUGCGUUGCUCGGAAUUACUGGGCGUAAAGGGAGCGUAGGCGGACAUUUAAGUCAGGGGUGAAAUCCCAGAGCUCAACUCUGGAACUGCCUUUGAUACUGGGUGUCUUGAGUGUGAUAGAGGUAUGUGGAACUCCGAGUGUAGAGGUGAAAUUCGUAGAUAUUCGGAAGAACACCAGUGGCGAAGGCGACAUACUGGAUCAUUACUGACGCUGAGGCUCGAAAGCGUGGGGAGCAAACAGGAUUAGAUACCCCGGUAGUCCCUGUCUCUUAUAC
RNAcentral lists this ribosomal RNA (301 nucleotides) under uncultured bacterium. RNAcentral describes it as "partial 16S ribosomal RNA". It matches the Rfam family "Bacterial small subunit ribosomal RNA", at positions 509 to 807 of the family's 1533-position model. The record is from RNAcentral.